Molecule: ribosomal RNA, 481 nt
Filed under: uncultured bacterium
Lineage: Bacteria
Description: partial 16S ribosomal RNA
Rfam family: Bacterial small subunit ribosomal RNA
Source: RNAcentral
AUUGAACGCUGGCGGCAUGCUUUACACAUGCAAGUCGAACGGUAACAGGCCGCAAGGUGCUGACGAGUGGCGAACGGGUGAGUAAUGCAUCGGAACGUGCCCAGUCGUGGGGGAUAACUACUCGAAAGAGUAGCUAAUACCGCAUACGAUCUAUGGAUGAAAGCGGGGACCGGAAGGCCCCGGCCGGUUGGGGCGGGCGAUGUCAGAUUAGGUAGUUGGUGGGGUAAAGGCUCACCAAGCCAACGAUCUGUAGCUGGUCUGAGAGGACGACCAGCCACACUGGGACUGAGACACGGCCCAGACUCCUACGGGAGGCAGCAGUGGGGAAUUUUGGACAAUGGGCGCAAGCCUGAUCCAGCAAUGCCGCGUGCAGGAAGAAGGCCUUCGGGUUGUAAACUGCUUUUGUACGGAACGAAACGGCUCUGGUUAAUACCCGGGGCUAAUGACGGUACCGUAAGAAUAAGCACCGGCUAACUACGUG